Molecule: ribosomal RNA, 454 nt
Filed under: uncultured Rhodocyclaceae bacterium
Lineage: Bacteria; Pseudomonadati; Pseudomonadota; Betaproteobacteria; Rhodocyclales; Rhodocyclaceae
Description: bacterial SSU rRNA
Rfam family: Bacterial small subunit ribosomal RNA
Source: RNAcentral
AAGCGGUGGAUGAUGUGGUUUAAUUCGAUGCAACGCGAAAACCUUACCACCUUGACAUGUACGGAAUCCUUUAGAGAUAGAGGAGUGCUCGAAAGAGAACCGGAACACAGGUGCUGCAUGGCUGUCGUCAGCUCGUGUCGUGAGAUGUUGGGUUAAGUCCCGCAACGAGCGCAACCCUUGUCAUUAGUUGCCAUCAUUUGGUUGGGCACUCUAAUGAGACUGCCGGUGACAAACCGGAGGAAGGUGGGGAUGACGUCAAGUCCUCAUGGCCCUUAUGGGUAGGGCUUCACACGUCAUACAAUGGUCGGUACAGAGGGUUGCCAACCCGCGAGGGGGGAGCUAAUCCCACAAAGCCGAUCGUAGUCCGGAUCGCAGUCUGCAACUCGACUGCGUGAGGUCGGAAUCGCUAGUAAUCGUGGAUCAGAAUGUCACGGUGAAUACGUUCCCGGGUCUU